Heterocephalus glaber (naked mole-rat) is the source of this 269-nucleotide non-coding RNA. The record is from RefSeq and is a predicted model, not a curated record. NCBI's taxonomy places the organism in Eukaryota, Metazoa, Chordata, Mammalia, Rodentia, Bathyergidae.
UCUAGUUCCGGCUGAGACUGGAGCUUCUACAUUGUGGGAAGCGGUUCUCUACGUUUCUUUGGCUGGAAGCAGAAUCUCUGGGUGGCCGAGGCCCCUGGACUGGUGGAUGUUCCUGGUGGGCACCCUGAGCCUCAGGCCCUGUGCCCUGGUGACAGCCCCCAACACAAGGACCUCCCGGGGAAGUUGGUGGUACAAGAGCUCUUCUCCAGUGUCCUGCAGGAGAUCUGUGAUGAGGUGAGAGGUGGUUCUGACAGCCUGGUGGGCAUGAA